UACGUAGGGGGCGAGCGUUGUCCGGAUUUAUUGGGCGUAAAGAGCGUGUAGGCGGCCAGGUAGGUCUGCUGUGAAAACUCGAGGCUCAACCUCGAGACGUCGGCGGAAACCAUCUGGCUAGAGUCCGGAAGAGGAGAGUGGAAUUCCUGGUGUAGCGGUGAAAUGCGCAGAUAUCAGGAGGAACACCGGUGGCGAAGGCGGAUCUCUGGGCCGAUACUGACGCUGAGGAGCGAAAGCGUGGGGAGCGAACAGG
Molecule: ribosomal RNA, 253 nt
Filed under: uncultured bacterium
Lineage: Bacteria
Description: partial 16S ribosomal RNA
Rfam family: Bacterial small subunit ribosomal RNA
Source: RNAcentral